This 494-nucleotide ribosomal RNA is filed under the name uncultured bacterium. RNAcentral describes it as "partial 16S ribosomal RNA". It matches the Rfam family "Bacterial small subunit ribosomal RNA", at positions 28 to 507 of the family's 1533-position model. The record is from RNAcentral.
GACGAACGCUGGCGGCGCGCUUAACACAUGCGAGUCGAACGGAAAGGCCUGCUUUCCCUUGUGGAUUGCGGGUACUCGAGUGGCGAACGGGUGAGUAACACGUGAGUGAUCUGCCCCCAACUUGGGUAUAAGCCUGGGAAACUGGGUCUAAUUCCCGAUAGGACUGCAGGGUGGUGCCUGUGGUGGAAAACGAUUUUCUAGUGGUUGGGGAUGAGCUCGCGGCCUAUCAGCUUGUUGGUGGGGUAAUGGCCUACCAAGGCGGCGACGGGUAGCCGGCCUGAGAGGGUGGACGGCCACAUUGGGACUGAGAUACGGCCCAGACUCCUACGGGAGGCAGCAGUGGGGAAUAGUGCACAAUGGGCGGAAGCCUGAUGCAGCGACGCCGCGUGGGGGAUGACGGCCUUCGGGUUGUAAACUCCUUUCGACCGCGAGGAAGCCACCUGGUUGGAAGGGUGGUGACGGUAGUGGUAGAAGAAGCACCGGCUAACUACGUG